GACGAACGCUGGCGGCGUGCUUAACACAUGCAAGUCGAACGAGAGGACAAGAGAAGCUUGCUUCUUUUGGAAUCGAGUGGCAAACGGGUGAGUAACACGUAAACAACCUGCCUUCAGGAUGGGGACAACAGACGGAAACGACUGCUAAUACCGAAUACGCUUGGGAGACCGCAUGAUCUUCCAAGGAAAGGGUGGCCUCUACUUGUAAGCUAUCGCCUGAAGAGGGGUUUGCGUCUGAUUAGGCAGUUGGUGAGGUAACGGCCCACCAAACCUACGAUCAGUAGCCGGUCUGAGAGGAUGAACGGCCACACUGGAACUGAGACACGGUCCAGACUCCUACGGGAGGCAGCAGUGGGGAAUCUUCCGCAAUGGGCGAAAGCCUGACGGAGCAACGCCGCGUGAGUGAUGACGGCCUCGG
RNAcentral lists this ribosomal RNA (418 nucleotides) under uncultured bacterium. RNAcentral's name for it is "bacterial SSU rRNA". It matches the Rfam family "Bacterial small subunit ribosomal RNA", at positions 28 to 420 of the family's 1533-position model. The record is from RNAcentral.